This 253-nucleotide ribosomal RNA is filed under the name uncultured bacterium. Its description in RNAcentral is "partial 16S ribosomal RNA". It matches the Rfam family "Bacterial small subunit ribosomal RNA", at positions 524 to 776 of the family's 1533-position model. The record is from RNAcentral.
UACGUAGGGUGCAAGCGUUGUCCGGAAUUAUUGGGCGUAAAGAGCGCGUAGGCGGUCCGAUAAGUCGGCUGUGAAAGUCAAGGGCUCAACCCUUGAAAGCCGGCCGAUACUGUCGGACUAGAGUCCGGAAGAGGCAAGUGGAAUUCCCGGUGUAGCGGUGAAAUGCGCAGAUAUCGGGAGGAACACCUGUGGUGUAGACAGCUUACUGGACCACUUCUGACGCUGAGACACGAAAGCGUGGGUAGCAAACAGG